UACGAAGGGGGGCUAGCGUUGCUCGGAAUCACUGGGCGUAAAGCGCACGUAGGCGGAUUGCUAAGUCAGAGGUGAAAUCCCAGAGCUCAACUCUGGAACUGCCUUUGAUACUGGGUAUCUCGAGUAUGGAAGAGGUGAGUGGAAUUCCGAGUGUAGAGGUGAAAUUCGUAGAUAUUCGGAGGAACACCAGUGGCGAAGGCGGCUCACUGGUCCAUUACUGACGCUGAGGUGCGAAAGCGUGGGGAGCAAACAGG
RNAcentral lists this ribosomal RNA (254 nucleotides) under uncultured bacterium. RNAcentral describes it as "partial 16S ribosomal RNA". It matches the Rfam family "Bacterial small subunit ribosomal RNA", at positions 524 to 776 of the family's 1533-position model. The record is from RNAcentral.